Small nuclear RNA from Bison bison bison, 102 nucleotides. NCBI's taxonomy places the organism in Eukaryota, Metazoa, Chordata, Mammalia, Artiodactyla, Bovidae. The record is from Ensembl.
GUGCUAGCUUCAGCAGCACAUAUACUAAAAUUGGAACAAUACAGAGAAGAUUAUCCCCUGCACAAGGAUGACAGGCACAUUCGUGAAGUUUUCCGUAUCUUG